GCCCACAUGGUGAAACUGGUAGACACGCCAUCUUGAGGGGGUGGAGCUCGAAAGGGUGUAAGAGUUCGAAUCUCUUUGUGGGCACCA
RNAcentral lists this transfer RNA (87 nucleotides) under Sphingobacteriales bacterium. RNAcentral describes it as "tRNA-Leu". It matches the Rfam family "tRNA". From Rfam's summary of the family: Transfer RNA (tRNA) molecules are approximately 80 nucleotides in length. Lineage: Bacteria; Pseudomonadati; Bacteroidota; Sphingobacteriia; Sphingobacteriales. The record is from RNAcentral.